ACCGUUUCCCUCCCCCCUGCCUCCCCCCGCCGACGCACCCGGAAUCUCCGCCGAGCCCCCAGCACGGCUUCGCGCUCGGGGCCCCGAUGCCCCUGGGGCACCUCGACAGUCUGUCCUGGCGCCGCGCUCGUCGGUCCGGCGGGGAAUGGUUGGUCGGUCGGUCGGUCGCCUCCUAGGGCGAUGGUCUGCAGGCCCCCUUUCAGGGGCACAGAAAGGCAGAGGAGGGCCCUGGGGCAAACCAAAAGGAAAAGAGCUGAUGGUGGAUGUCACGACCCGGGCUGGACAGACCAGGGAGUCGUGUUGCGUUCGGAAUUCCCUCGGGCUAAACUAAGGAACUGCCAUGAAACUAUCUCAGCGACCCGUGUAACCCAUGGUAACCAUAUACCUCAAUUCAGGGAAUAAGGAAAGCCCUCCCGUUGCGUCACGAGGUUCAGAGCGGACAGCGGUCCCCCUCUGCUUUCUAGACUCCUUCUCCGAGAAGUGCCGUGGGACGGCUGGAUCCGCUCCUAGUCCCAGACUUGGUCAGCGGUUUAUGUCUAAAGGGAUGAGGUGUAGGGAUUAUGAAAAAGGAGAGAGGAAGAGGAAAUGAAAAGAGAAAGAUCUCACCGCCCCUGGGCCCAGCGUUGCUCCAGUCUAAAGGUCCAGUUCCAGAAGGCGCGCGCGCGGGACUUCCGUUUGUGUCCUUUCAUCAUCUCCUUGCCCCUCCAUCGGGCGGGCACUCUGACUCAUUAGGCUAAUUAGCUGUCAUGCGCGGUUUGUGCUUUCAGAACCUUCAGGAAAUGGGUCGGUGGGCUUGGGGGUCGUUUGAGGAGUAACUUCUCCCUCCCUGCAGGCGUGACCGUUGUUUGGUCCUUGGCCGCACAGGGUGAGCUGCCCCGCUCAGCGUAUCGGGACACGGACGCCCUCCGCGUCCUGCCGCAGACGUCCUGUGCCGGUCUGUGCUGAUCGGCUUCUCACCUGCGGUUCGUUGUUAUGCCGGGUUAAUUGUUAUGCAGGGUUCGUCAUUAAGCAGAACUUGCGCCACCCACAAUGCUUGAGACGUUAACUCUUUCAGUCUCUCACAGUGGAGAACACCAAAAAGCACCCAGAAAACUGUGGGAGAGGGGAGAAAGCUGAACGGAGAAUUUUGUUGCCCACUGCAGGACAAACAGGACCCUGAGGCUCACCAGAAGGCACAUGGAGGGCUCGGGGGCAACCCAGACCGUGAACUGAGGGUUCUGGGGCACACCAACAUGCAAACAGAGGCUGCAAGGUGCCUCAAAAUGUCCUCAAAAUCUGAGGACAUCAGAAAGCAAACUGGGGACACAAUGGCGUACCUAGGUGAAAAAGGUUGUUUCUGCCAGGCAAGUGCAAGGCCUUGGGGUGUAUGGGAAGCCAAGUGGAAGACCGUAAGGCAUGUGUCUCUACAGCUUUAUUACCUAGUAUACUUGGGAAUAAGUCACCAUGUAAGACUCUGUGUGUGUCUGUCUUUCCCUUCCACCUUGUUCGGAUUGCUCCCACCACUCUAUCCUCACCUUCAUUAUUGAAUUUCUCAUGCAAGGACAGCAUGUAAGCUGAGACUUUUUAGUAACCGACUUUCAUUUACUUGCCUUGCCAGAUGUGCAGCAGCUGUGGGGGGGGGGGGGGGGGGGGUGUCUGAAAAAGUCCUGGGCAUUACCAGGAGGGAUACAGAUGACAAGACAAAAAGCUCCAGAAAACCUUGGUGAAUCCACAUCCUCAGUACUGUAUGCUGUCACAUUCUCUGCAUCUUAUGAAGGACAAAGUUUUGAGUUGGAAAGGUACAAAGCUACCAUCUCGUAUAAGGUGAGCCUGAAUAGGCUGCGGUUUCUAACAUCCGCUAACACUGGCGGGGGUAUGAGAGGCAUGAGAGGCAUGGACUGUGGAAAGAGGUGGGACUUACGUGCUCCUCCUAAACUGCAUCUCCUGUUGCCCCUGUUAGGGACAGAAUAACAGUAUAGACUUACAACGAUAGCUCCAGCCCAGCAGGACAUUUUGUAUGUUCUUAGGACAUGUGGUACAGAGAAGAAUGGAAUGGAAAAGUGAUUAGUAGACCACUGUGCUGCAUCAGUUUCUUUGUAUCAGUUAGACCUCUUUCUCCACUGAAAGAGUAAAUGCCAAUCCCAGUGGUUGAAACCCUGAAAUUAUUAGGAAUGCCAUAAUUGGCUUGCAGAGGAAAACAUAUCUGUAAAUUUUUGAGUCUCUAGACACAGUAUAGCUCAGAAAUAAAGAUCAAAAUUUUAUUUCCAUGUUGGUAAUAAAAAUAAUUCCAUGACUUCUGUAAACCAUUGCAUAAACGCUAUAGUGUAGAAAAGUUUUAACAAGUGUUAACAAUUUUAAACAGUUCACUACAAGUAAAUGAGUAUGCAUUAUAAAUAAUACGUUUUGUAUUAAGAACAAUUUCAUUCACAAAAUCAUUUCUGUCUGUACACUCAAAACAUUAACGGCUUCCAUAAAUUAAUAUGACUAAAAAUUCCGUAUUUAUUUAGGGUCUGAUGAUGACCACAGUUACACAAGCAUAGUGUGACAGUAAUAAUAUUACUACCUAUAUUUAAUACUAGGAUACUCUGAAUGGCAAUAUAGAACAAAACAAGUAUGUCUUUAAUAAUCUGCUAUUCAAAGAAGACUAAUAAUAAGCCUGUAACAUGCAGCUUGGGAUCUAUCUGUAAUUAGCAUACUUCUGGUUAAAUUACAGCUCCUAACUGUAAAAACCCUGAGAAAUCACAUUUUUAAUCUAUUAUUCCCCAGGCUAAAAUAAUUGUGACAACAUUAUGGCAUUCACAUUUAAAAUUAUAUUCUUACAUAAAUUAACACAGAACUUUGUCAAAUACCAAAAUGAAUCUUGAAAAUAUAUGUAGUUUGCUUUUAUGUAUUUUGUGAAUUCAGCAAAUUACCAUAUUGUAGUCUCGCUAAAAUAUAAUUUUAAUGUAUCCAGUUUCUAGAUAAUGUAUGUAGUACAAGGAUGAAUACUUACAAAGGUCAGGUUUCACUUCUGACUUCUUCCAAAUAGUCGUCUCUAGUCAACUGCAUGUAUUUUAUUAUCCUCCAUUUUAAAGUAGUGGUGUAAAAGUGCAUACUUACUUGUUUUUGCAGUCAACUUGCUUAAUAAGAUACAGAAAACUUUGCUUGUAAUUCCUCACAAAAAGAAUUUUGUGAAGAACAACUGUAUUAUUUUCAUAUGACUGCUAUGUUAUGAUGAUGCAUGGUUCAAGUGAUUACCUAAGGAUUCAUCUAUAAUUAUAGCAAGCCAUCCAGUCUGAGAAUUUCACAUAUAGGUAUGUUUCUUUGGUAUGUGUUUUUUCCUUCUCCACAAAAUGGUUUGUUGACAGUUUUUAAAUGUGUCUGUAUUUCAGCACCAAAGAAACUUACAGGGAACACCUGCAAAAUUUUCAGUACUGAUAUUACUACAGGACACACAUAAUUAUUUUCAAGAUUCAUCAUUGUAAAACAACAAAACAUACAACUUAAAAAAGCAACAGACUAAAUAUAUUAGUUAAUUUCCUCUAAAAAUGCAGCACACAUAAACUAUGAAUGUCAAUGUGAUGAUUCACACUGCAAGUGCUGUUUACAUUCCUUUUUUGUUGGUGUCAUGACAUUACGAAAAUCGCCUGUUAGUACCAAAAAAAGGGACCACAAAAUAGCCCUAGGACAUAGGCAAAUGCACUAAAAUACACAUGAAGAACGAUAAACUUUGACAAGACAGCACAAAACCAAGCUUCCAUAUCUCGUCGGUAACAAAUGUCACAUAGCUGCAUAUGGGCAGCACAACGUGGCCCGAAGCUGGUUUCUUCUAAAAUACCAAAGCAAAAAUUUUCACUAAGAUAUUUCUGAAUGUUUUUGUGAGCACAAUGGUUGCAGAAUGCUGUUCCACACUAGAUAAAUAUAGUAGACUGGUGUCCAAAACAAAUGCUUGUUUGAAAAAUAUGUAACAUAAUUUCAAACUAUAAUUACAUAUUAUUCUUUGAUUUGCUCACUGUUUGAAAAAACAAAACCCUUACAUAACUAAGUUUGCUUUAGUCCAAAAUGCUGUUAAAGUUCAAAAAUCAGUCUUUGUCAUAGACUGCACAGAUGCAAAAAAUACAUUAAUACCUACAGCCAAACUUGGUGAUACAAGUUCCUUUUUUUUAAAAGUCCAAAGCUGGCUACACCUUUAAAAUGGCAAUAUCUUAUUUUAGGACAGAAAAGUGUGUUGGAAAAUGCAAAUACAGUCCAAUUUUAUACUUUUCUCAGUACAAACAUUUUAGAGAAACUGUGUUAAAGUCAACAAAAUCACAUUAUUAAACCCAACUUUGGUCUUUAAAGUGAUCUUCAGACAAAAUUUUGAAACAGAAUCAAGUAGAAAUGUAUUUAAUAUUUUAUCCUACUUCUCCCUUCCCAAAAGGUCUCAAAUGUUCCUGCAGAUCAACAUGUCUUAGGAAAGCAGUGACAAGCCUGUACAUUUAGUUCUCACGGAAAACGUGUAAUGAUUUUUUGCUAACUCAAGCCUUUGUACAAAGAACGCUAAAACCCAAAGGAGAUAGUUAUUUCAGUACUAUUGGCUUGGGCCCUUUAUUUAACGCUGACACAGUUAUAAAAGCUCCAUCUUGACAAUAAUAAUUUUAGUAUACAUCUUGUUUUUUGUUUUAGCAUGACUGAACUUUAAAUAGAUUAACUCUUUGCUGCCUAUGUGAACUCACUUUUUGUACUAAAUACAGUAAUACUGAGAUAGAAAUCAUGUAACACAGUAGUAGGUCAUUUCAAUCUAAGUUGUACUAGUGUCACACCUUAAUUUAACAGUAAAAGGAGUAAUGCAGGCAAUUAUUCCAUGUAAGAAAAGUAAAAAUAUACAGUGUUAACAUGCCGUAAUUAACUAACUACUCCUCCUGAACUGCAUGUUCCCAACUACCAGGAUGAAGUAAGGAUAUUACCACCUUUUAAAAGAAUCACUGUGUCAAAGUGUCACUGCCUGAUUACAUAGUUAAAUAAUUUUGUAGUUUCUUUCAAACAUGCAUUACUUCAUUACUGAAAAAAGUGUGGUUUUAAAUAUUUAUAAAAGCAAGAGACAUAUUCUAGUUAUUGUCAAAUUGUUCAAUACAAAAUUAAGCAAUAGAAAUUAUUUGCAAAAUUCUUUUUUUAUGUCUUCUGCCAUUUUAUAGGAUAUUGGGCAUAGGCACUUGGUAAUAUUUUAUAUAUCAUAUCCGUUCCCAAUGAGUACCACACAGGUUAGAUGUACAAAAACUUAAAGACUACAAACACCCAAACUGAGGGAAAUAUGCAAAUGCACAGUUGUUUACUAAAACUGAUCUGUUUCUCAAAUUGAAAACAUGUCUUUGAAUAUGAAAGCGUAUGUGCCUCACUCGUUUUUUCUCCGCUGGUACAUUUAUAAAUACUACAGUACGCAGUUAACUUAUAAAUUGUAAAAAAACUA
Molecule: long non-coding RNA, 5404 nt
Organism: Harpia harpyja (harpy eagle)
Lineage: Eukaryota; Metazoa; Chordata; Aves; Accipitriformes; Accipitridae
Exons: 2
Source: RefSeq, a predicted model, not a curated record